Molecule: ribosomal RNA, 253 nt
Filed under: uncultured bacterium
Lineage: Bacteria
Description: partial 16S ribosomal RNA
Rfam family: Bacterial small subunit ribosomal RNA
Source: RNAcentral
UACAGAGGUCCCAAGCGUUGUUCGGAUUCAUUGGGCGUAAAGGGUGCGUAGGUGGCGCGGUAAGUCGGGUGUGAAAUCUCGGAGCUUAACUCCGAAAUUGCAUUCGAUACUGCCGUGCUUGAGGACUGGAGAGGAGACUGGAAUUCAUGGUGUAGCAGUGAAAUGCGUAGAGAUCAUGAGGAAGACCAGUGGCGAAGGCGGGUCUCUGGACAGUUCCUGACACUGAGGCACGAAGGCCAGGGGAGCAAACGGG